RNAcentral lists this ribosomal RNA (98 nucleotides) under uncultured bacterium. RNAcentral describes it as "partial 16S ribosomal RNA". It matches the Rfam family "Bacterial small subunit ribosomal RNA", at positions 395 to 508 of the family's 1533-position model. The record is from RNAcentral.
CGCCGCGUGAGUGAUGGAAGACUUCGGGUUGUAAGCUCUGUCGGAGGGGAAGAACACAAUGACGGUACCCUCCAAGAAAGCCCCGGCUAACUACGUGC